GAUGAAGAACGCAGCGAAAUGCGAUAAGUAAUGUGAAUUGCAGAAUUCAGUGAAUCAUCGAAUCUUUGAACGCACAUUGCGCCCGUUAGCAUUCUAGCGGGCAUGCCUGUCCGAGCGUCAUUUCAACCCUCAGGGUCCCCGUUCCGGCGGGGAACCUGGUGUUGGGGAUCGGCCCGCCCCGUGCGGCGCCGUCCCCCAAAUUCAGUGGCGGUCUCGCUGCAGCCUCCCCUGCGUAGUAGUUACAACCUCGCAUCGGAGCUCAGCGCGGCCACGCCGUAAAACCCCCGACUUUCUGAACGUUGACCUCGGAUCAGGUAGGAAUACCCGCUGAACUUAAGCAUACAAUAAGCGGAGGA
This 356-nucleotide unclassified non-coding RNA is filed under the name soil metagenome. RNAcentral describes it as "partial contains 5.8S ribosomal RNA, internal transcribed spacer 2, and large subunit ribosomal RNA". The stretch from base 1 to 120 matches the Rfam family "5.8S ribosomal RNA", at positions 35 to 154 of the family's 154-position model. The record is from RNAcentral.